GAGGAAGCCCGGUGCGACUCCGGCGCGGUCCCGCCACUGUGAGCCCGUCCCCCAGGGGACGGGUGAGCCAGGAACUC
RNAcentral lists this non-coding RNA (77 nucleotides) under Streptomyces sp. RNAcentral also lists the same sequence under 1 other name. Lineage: Bacteria; Bacillati; Actinomycetota; Actinomycetes; Kitasatosporales; Streptomycetaceae. The record is from RNAcentral.